GACUCAGAAGGGCAAACAUACUUAACAUCCGGGGCUCGUGAUGAUGUCAUUCCCCUCCUGCUGUCACCUACAGCACACAUGACUCUUGGACCAGCUCUACUCCAUGCCUGCAGCUUUCCUUGGAUAACGUCCUAUGAUCUUAGUGCCUCCAACAUACUUGGAGUCUCCUUUGCAGUCCAGGCUUCACCUUCUCAGAUCCACGCGAUAUCUCUCAAGGCCUUCUGGCAGGAAAUCCAAGCCUGCCAUGUACCGCCUAGCUUCAACAGCUUUCUGGAACCUUGGUGCAAGUCUCCAUGACCACCUCCUCAAGUAUCUAUGACUGCAAAACUAACACCACCUGGAUGACAGUGCCAAGUUCUGCUGUCAGCUCAAGGUUCCCUCCUCCCAAACGUGCCUGCACUGUUACAAGACCCGGAGUCUUCAAUGUGCGAAGUGCGGAGGGUGUCUCGACCUAAGGGCGUAUUUCCUGUUGUCUCGGUGCAGAGCAAGAGAAUGCCCAAAUACAAGCAACUCCUAGAAGGAUGUAUUCCGGCUUACAGACUGAGGAUACGGGCCAUCGUGGCAGGAGCGUGAGGUGGCUGGUCACAUCCUGGCUGCGGCUAGGAAACCAAAGGAGGUGGGGGCUGCCGGUGUGUCUACUGAUGGAUGCGUGGAUGGACAGACUGCAAUGAUUCCGACUUAAAAGAGCAGGGAACUCUGACAUCUGCUCCGAGACGACCCGUGAGAAUAUUUUGGGAAAUGAACGAGGAGACGGGAAUGCCAAGGGGACCCGGCGCUGACUUCCCUACAGGACUUCCAGGACUUCCAGUCCCUUUCCACAAAGGAGGGCUUGGACGACUGUUGGGCCCUGGGAGUUGGGACACGACUUCAAACUGCUGUACCAGGAGAUUUACAUGGCCCUGGGACAGUGAAGAUAUGGGACCAGUCAAAACAAUCCCGGGACUUUUGCCUGAAUGACCUUCUGAGAAAGGGGUCAGAAGGAAUGAAAUGAGACGCGUAAACAGCAAGAGACACAGUUGCUGACGCCAGGGUUGGAACUCCCGGACCCAGAGCGCCUAGAUUCCUCAACUCUUCCUUCACCAAACCAAUUUGUUUUCUGUUUUAGGGGUGUGUGUGUGUGUAUGUGUGUGUGUGUGUGUCUGUGUGUGUCUGUGUCUGUGUGUCUGUACACACAUGAAGGCCGGAGGUCAACCCUGGACAUCUAUCUUCCUUAUUCACUACCUUUUUAAAGGCAGGGUUUCCUCUUGAACCUGGAGCUCACUGACUGAGCUAGUCUGGCUGGCUACAAGCUGUGGGGAUCUCCUGUCCCUGCCUCCCCGGCACUGGGAUUGCAGGCACGUGCCGCCAGGCGUGGUGCUCUUUUGUAAGUUCUGGGGGAUUAAACUCAGGCCCUCGUGUUUGCAUGACAAGCUCUGUAACACCUGAGUCAUCUCCCCGGGUUGAGGGCUUUUCCUUUGUUUGCUUAUGAAUAUUUUAAACUAUUUAUUUAUGGUGCUGGGGACCGAGCACAGGGCCACGGGCAUGCUGAGACCUCCUCCUCCACGGUUCCCAGGCGAACUUUGCAAAGGCUUCCUGGGUGGGGCACCUGCCUCCUGGUGACCUUUAUUUGACGUCACAUCACGGCCAAGUGUGAGGGCAGAGAUCCAGUCAGUCUGGGAAGAACCAGGUCGUUAUCAUCCCCACCUCUGCUCCUUCCAGAGGCCACCAUGAGCCCCUCAUGUCACAGCCUUCCCUUUCCCUGGUGGCUUCUAAGCCAGCUUAUGUCCCUCGGCUGCUCACACUCUCCCGUGGCUGCCUUCAGGCAUGAGCUAGCGUCCCACGAGCCUGUAGGCCUUCCACUGGGCCGUGUCACCUGCUUUUCCUCACCCUGCCACGCUCCCCAGUCUUCCGAGAUUCUGAAACUCAGGGCCUCUGCAUCAUCCAAGGAGUCUCCUUCAUUCAGAGGGCUACCCCCUCUCUCCCAUGAGGCCUGGCUCUGAGAUCAGACCCCACCGAGGCCUGCCAGCCAUCGCCUGCGAUAGCAGACAUGUCUGCCCUAGCCUUCCUAGCCCAGGAACCCAGCCCUCGCUUCCCCAGAAACGCUGUGCCCAGGAGACACCAGCUGGAGACUUGUCUUCACCCCGUAGGCACCCCACGAGGGCGGGAACUUCAUCUUGCCCACACGUCUCAAGAUCUGGAAUGGUGCCCGGCGUGGUAAUGAAUAAAGCCUGUGGGAUAA
Mesocricetus auratus (golden hamster) is the source of this 2218-nucleotide long non-coding RNA. RefSeq lists it as uncharacterized. The record is from RefSeq and is a predicted model, not a curated record. The transcript has 5 exons. NCBI's taxonomy places the organism in Eukaryota, Metazoa, Chordata, Mammalia, Rodentia, Cricetidae.